GUAGCUCUAUGGUCUGGGGGACACCUGUCUCCCUCCUGUAGUUCUACGUCUUUACACUUACACCGUAGCAAAGUCUUAUGGAAUGUGCACUGCGUUUAACGCGAUACAAUACAACUUUCAGCAACGGAUCUCUUGGCUCUCGCAUCGAUGAAGAACGCAGCGAAAUGCGAUAAGUAAUGUGAAUUGCAGAAUUCAGUGAAUCAUCGAAUCUUUGAACGCACCUUGCGCCCCUUGGCUAUUCCGAGGGGCAUGCCUGUUUGAGUAUCAUGAACACCUCAACUCUCAUGGUUUGCCGUGAUGAGCUUGGACUUUUGGGGGUUUUGUUGGCCAACGGUCGGCUCCUCUGAAACAGAUCAGCUCGCCAGUGUUUGGUGGCGUCACAGGUGUGAUAACUAUCUACGCUUGCGAUCGUUUGCCGAGUAACCUUUGGAAACGGAGGUUCGCUGCAGCUUAUAAAUGUCUCUCCUCAGCGAAGACAGCUUUUUGACCGUUCGAUCUCAAAUCAGGUAGGACUACCCGCUGAAC
This 525-nucleotide ribosomal RNA is filed under the name uncultured Thelephoraceae. RNAcentral describes it as "eukaryotic LSU rRNA". The stretch from base 113 to 267 matches the Rfam family "5.8S ribosomal RNA". The record is from RNAcentral. Lineage: Eukaryota; Fungi; Basidiomycota; Agaricomycetes; Thelephorales; Thelephoraceae.